This 492-nucleotide ribosomal RNA is filed under the name uncultured bacterium. Its description in RNAcentral is "partial 16S ribosomal RNA". It matches the Rfam family "Bacterial small subunit ribosomal RNA", at positions 29 to 507 of the family's 1533-position model. The record is from RNAcentral.
AGUGAACGCUGGCGGUAGGCCUAACACAUGCAAGUCGAACGGCAACACAGUAAGAGCUUGCUCUUACGGGUGGCGAGUGGCGGACGGGUGAGGAAUACAUCGGAAUCUACUUUUUCGUGGGGGAUAACGUAGGGAAACUUACGCUAAUACCGCAUACGACCUACGGGUGAAAGCAGGGGAUCUUCGGACCUUGCGCGAUUGAAUGAGCCGAUGUCGGAUUAGCUAGUUGGCGGGGUAAAGGCCCACCAAGGCGACGAUCCGUAGCUGGUCUGAGAGGAUGAUCAGCCACACUGGAACUGAGACACGGUCCAGACUCCUACGGGAGGCAGCAGUGGGGAAUAUUGGACAAUGGGCGCAGGCCUGAUCCAGCCAUACCGAGUGGGUGAAGAAGGCCUUCGGGUUGUAAAGCCCUUUUGUUGGGAAAGAAAAGCAGCAGGUUAAUACCCCGCUGUUCUGACGGUACCCAAAGAAUAAGCACCGGCUAACUUCGUG